Small nuclear RNA from Marmota flaviventris (yellow-bellied marmot), 104 nucleotides. The record is from RefSeq and is a predicted model, not a curated record. Lineage: Eukaryota; Metazoa; Chordata; Mammalia; Rodentia; Sciuridae.
GUACUUGCUUUGGCAGCACAUAUACUAAAAUUGGAAGGAUACAGAGAUUAGUAUGGCCCCUGUGCAAAGAUGACAUGCAAAUUCAUGAAGCAUUCCUUAUUUUU